Molecule: ribosomal RNA, 497 nt
Filed under: uncultured bacterium
Lineage: Bacteria
Description: partial 16S ribosomal RNA
Rfam family: Bacterial small subunit ribosomal RNA
Source: RNAcentral
GAUGAACGCUGGCGGCGUGCCUAAUACAUGCAAGUCGAGCGAACAGACGAGGAGCUUGCUCCUCUGACGUUAGCGGCGGACGGGUGAGUAACACGUGGAUAACCUACCUAUAAGACUGGGAUAACUUCGGGAAACCGGAGCUAAUACCGGAUAAUAUAUUGAACCGCAUGGUUCAAUAGUGAAAGACGGUUUUGCUGUCACUUAUAGAUGGAUCCGCGCCGCAUUAGCUAGUUGGUAAGGUAACGGCUUACCAAGGCAACGAUGCGUAGCCGACCUGAGAGGGUGAUCGGCCACACUGGAACUGAGACACGGUCCAGACUCCUACGGGAGGCAGCAGUAGGGAAUCUUCCGCAAUGGGCGAAAGCUUGACGGAGCAACGCCGCGUGAGUGAUGAAGGUCUUCGGAUCGUAAAACUCUGUUAUUACGGAAGAACAAAUGUGUAAGUAACUAUGCACGUCUUGACGGUACCUAAUCAGAAAGCCACGGCUAACUACGUG